This 69-nucleotide transfer RNA is filed under the name Marmota marmota marmota (Alpine marmot). It matches the Rfam family "tRNA". From Rfam's summary of the family: Transfer RNA (tRNA) molecules are approximately 80 nucleotides in length. Their secondary structure includes four short double-helical elements and three loops (D, anti-codon, and T loops). RNAcentral also lists the same sequence under 3 other names. Lineage: Eukaryota; Metazoa; Chordata; Mammalia; Rodentia; Sciuridae. The record is from Rfam by way of RNAcentral.
GGAGUUGUAGCUCAGUGGUAGAGUGCUUGCCUAGCACGUAUGAGGCACUGGGUUCAAUUCUCGGCACCA